Molecule: long non-coding RNA, 239 nt
Filed under: Brassica rapa (field mustard)
Lineage: Eukaryota; Viridiplantae; Streptophyta; Magnoliopsida; Brassicales; Brassicaceae
Description: long non-coding RNA (BRAP_LNC004136)
Source: RNAcentral
ACAAUGUUUAUACACGUGACAUGUAUCUAGUUUAGUUUGAACGCAUUUAUUACAAUGAUUCUCAUUUAAUAUAUAAGGGAUAACCUGGUUUUAUAUUAAAAAUCAAACAUAAUUAAAGCUUUAUUUUUCAUAAGGCUGAUGUAGACAAAGCAUUAAGGAUCAAUUGUCAAGCAGUGGAAAGUAUUUUCCUAUUCAAAAUGAAUUUUACUUGUUAGAACAUGGUUUGAGAUCCAUGCGUA